CAAAAACAUCGCCUCCUGCAAAAAUCAACAUAUAGGAGGUCUUGCCUGCCCAGUGACCCUAAGUUAAACGGCCGCGGUAUUUUGACCGUGCAAAGGUAGCGCAAUCACUUGUCUUUUAAAUAAAGACCCGUAUGAAUGGUGAAACGAGGGCUUAACUGUCUCCCCCCUCUAGUCAAUGAAAUUGAUCCACCCGUGCAGAAGCGGGUAUAAACAUACAAGACGAGAAGACCCUUUGGAGCUUAAGAUAAAACACCAACUAUGUCAAUAGUGCAAAACACUAAACUAAAUAGCACUGGUCUAAGUCUUCGGUUGGGGCGACCACGGGAGAAAAUAAAGCUCCCAUGCGGAAUGGGAAUAUACCUAAAACCAAGAGAGACACCUCUAAGACACAGAACAUCUGACCAAAAGAUCCGGCUACUUGCCGACCAACGAACCAAGUUACCCUAGGGAUAACAGCGCAAUCCCCUUCCAGAGUCCAUAUCGACAAGGGGGUUUACGACCUCGAUGUUGGAUCAGGAUAUCCUAAUGGUGCAGCCGCUAUUAAGGGUUC
RNAcentral lists this ribosomal RNA (550 nucleotides) under Exastilithoxus fimbriatus. Its description in RNAcentral is "partial 16S ribosomal RNA". It matches the Rfam family "Bacterial large subunit ribosomal RNA", at positions 1808 to 2574 of the family's 2925-position model. The record is from RNAcentral. Lineage: Eukaryota; Metazoa; Chordata; Actinopteri; Siluriformes; Loricariidae.